GUCAGCAUGGCCGAGUGGUUAAGGCGAUAGAUUCGAAAUCUAUUGGGCUCGUUCCCGCGCAGGUUCAAAUCCUGCUGCUGACG
Transfer RNA from Trachipleistophora hominis, 83 nucleotides. It matches the Rfam family "tRNA". From Rfam's summary of the family: Transfer RNA (tRNA) molecules are approximately 80 nucleotides in length. Lineage: Eukaryota; Fungi; Microsporidia; Pleistophoridae. The record is from Rfam.